UGGGGAAUCUUGGACAAUGGGGGCAACCCUGAUCCAGCCAUGCCGCGUGAGUGAUGAAGGCCUUAGGGUCGUAAAGCUCUUUCGCCUGUGAAGAUAAUGACGGUAGCAGGUAAAGAAACCCCGGCUAACUCCGUGCCAGCAGCCGCGGUAAUACGGAGGGGGUUAGCGUUGUUCGGAAUUACUGGGCGUAAAGCGCACGUAGGCGGACCAGAAAGUUGGGGGUGAAAUCCCGGGGGCUCAACCCCGGAACUGCCUCCAAAACUAUUGGUCUAGAGUUCGAGAGAGGUGAGUGGAAUUCCAAGUGUAGAGGUGAAAAUUCGUAGAUAUUUGGAGGAACACCAGUGGCGAAGGCGGCUCACUGGCUCGAUACUGACGCUGAGGUGCGAAAAGUGUGGGGAGCAAAACAGGAUUAGAUACCCUGGUAGUCCACACCGUAAAACGAUGAAUGCCAGUCGUCGGGUAGCAUGCUAUUCGGUGACACACCUAACGGAUU
Molecule: ribosomal RNA, 493 nt
Filed under: uncultured bacterium
Lineage: Bacteria
Description: bacterial SSU rRNA
Rfam family: Bacterial small subunit ribosomal RNA
Source: RNAcentral